This 501-nucleotide ribosomal RNA is filed under the name uncultured Nocardiopsis sp. RNAcentral's name for it is "partial 16S ribosomal RNA". The record is from RNAcentral. Lineage: Bacteria; Bacillati; Actinomycetota; Actinomycetes; Streptosporangiales; Nocardiopsidaceae.
CACGUAGUUAGCCGGUCCUUAUUCCCCACCUACCGUCAACCCCGGGAGAACCCGGGGCCUGCGUGAGUGGUAAAAGAGGUUUACAACCCGAAGGCCGUCAUCCCCCGACGCGGCGUCGCUGCGUCAGGCUUUCGCCCAUUGCGCAAGAUUCCCCACUGCUGCCUCCCGCAGGAGUCUGGGCCGUGUCUCAGUCCCAGUGUGGCCGGUCGCCCUCUCAGGCCGGCUACCCGUAAUCGCCUUGGUAGGCCGUUACCCCACCAACAAGCUGAUAGGCCGCGAGCCCAUCCCCGACCGAAACAACUUUCCACCCGCACCCCAGGCAGGGGCGGGUCGUAUCCGGUAUUAGACGGCGUUUCCACCGCUUAUCCCAGAGUCAGGGGCAGGUUGCUCACGUGUUACUCACCCGUUCGCCGCUCGUGUACCCCGAAGGGCCUUACCGCUCGACUUGCAUGUGUUAAGCGCGCCGCCAGCGUCGUCCGUCGAGCCGACGAGUCAAACUAC